Molecule: ribosomal RNA, 913 nt
Filed under: uncultured archaeon
Lineage: Archaea
Description: bacterial SSU rRNA
Rfam family: Archaeal small subunit ribosomal RNA
Source: RNAcentral
CGGUUGAUCCUGCCGGAGGUUACUGCUAUCGAGGUUCGACUAAGCCAUGCGAGUCGAAUGUAGCAAUACAUGGCGUACUGCUCAGUAACACGUGGAUAACCUACCCUUGAGAUGGGGAUAAACCCGGGAAACUGGGUAUAAUACCCAAUAGGUCUCGACUGCUGGAAUGCAUCGAGCUCCAGAGCUCCGGCGCUCAAGGAUGGAUCUGCGGCCUAUCAGGUAGUAGUGGGUGUAGCGUACCUACUAGCCUACGACGGGUACGGGUUGUGAGAGCAAGAGCCCGGAGAUGGAUUCUGAGACACGAAUCCAGGCCCUACGGGGUGCAGCAGGCGCGAAAACUUUACAAUGCUGGAAACAGCGAUAAGGGGACCUCGAGUGCCAGGUUACAAAUCUGGCUGUCGUGAUGCCUAAAAAGCAUUGCAUAGCAAGGGCCGGGCAAGACCGGUGCCAGCCGCCGCGGUAACACCGGCGGCUCGAGUGGUAACCGUUAUUAUUGGGUCUAAAGGGUCUGUAGCCGGCCGGAUAAGUCUCUUGGGAAAUCUGGCAGCUUAACUGUCAGGCUUUCAGGAGAUACUGUCUGGCUCGAGGCCGGGAGAGGUGAGAGGUACUUCAGGGGUAGGGGUGAAAUCUUGUAAUCCUUGAAGGACCGCCAGUGGCGAAGGCGUCUCACCAGAACGGACCUGACGGCAAGGGACGAAAGCUAGGGGCACGAACCGGAUUAGAUACCCGGGUAGUCCUAGCCGUAAACGAUACUCGCUAGGUGUCGGCAACGGUGCGACCGUUGUCGGUGCCGUAGGGAAGCCGUGAAGCGAGCCACCUGGGAAGUACGGCCGCAAGGCUGAAACUUAAAGGAAUUGGCGGGGGAGCACCACAACGGGUGGAGCUUGCGGUUUAAUUGGAUUCAACGCCGGAA